GACAUAAUUCCCGUUUUCUCCCGCACGGCCGCACCCACCACCCCACCGCCGCCGGAAACCCCAGCCGAUCGACGGUGGCGGAGAUGUCGUUGUCCUCGGUGAAGAUCGGCGAGGAGGUGUGGCUCACAUGCCUCUCCCACGCCCUCACUACCGAGACCGAGGAGGUCAUGGGGCUCCUCCUCGGCGACAUCGAGCUUUCCAGCAAGGUCGCCACAGCCCUGGUAUGGGGGGCGUCGCCGCAGAUGAGGUGCGAGCGGAAGAAGGACCGCGUCGAGCUCAACCCCGAGCUUCUCGCCGCCGCAUCCGCGCAAGCCGAGAAAAUGACGGCCACCAUCAAGAGGACUACGAGGGUGAUCGGAUGGUACCACUCGCACCCACAUAUCACCGUUCUACCGUCCCAUGUAGAUGUUCGUACCCAAGCAAUGUUUCAGUUGCUGGAUACAGGCUUUGUGGGCCUUAUAUUUUCUUGUUUUAGUGAAGAUGCUCAAAAGGUUGGAAAAAUCCAAGUGACUGCCUUUCAGUCAGAGGGUGGACAACAGCAUCCCCUUCCUCUUGCCAUCGAUCCAGUCAUUGACCUUGAUUCAUCCUGUAGUUCAUCAGAUAAUGUGUCCGCUUCACAUUCUGCAUCGGUUGAAGGCAUGGAACAGGACACAGGGGAUUCCAGGGUCUCAAAGAAUAACAAGGCCUGGAGAAGAUCUAUGGAUUCUACUCCCAUCAUGACACAAAUCAUUCCACAAAUUAUGAACCCAGAGAAAGCGUACUCGUUCCGCACAAUCCUGAUAACACACAAGAAGCGUAUGUUGAUCCAUAUGAUUCAGAUAUGACUCCAAGCCUCCUGGAGGCUUUGCACUGGUCAACUAUGGACAUAAGUGGUGCAGAGUAUAGAGGGAAGGAGGUACCACUUCUUGUGGUCCCUACAAGGUAUCUCCUCAAGCUGGACACCACGAUGAUCUCUUACUGUGAUAUGCAGCGAGUCCUCUUUGAAGAGGAGAAAUCAGCAUAUAAUCAAGCUAUGCAACAAAAUAUUUGUGAUGGGAAGAUUCACCCUCUUACAUCCAUUCACCAUACAUCUACAUACAACUCUCUCUGCAAACUAAUGGAGUACUGGAUCGCCUGAAGGAAAAUGAACUUCGGGUGAAUAGACUAGCCUGCAUCUUUUGACGACUCUUGGCCUUGUAAGUCAUUAGCAUUGAACCUGCAUGUGUCAGCUAUCAAUGUUACAAGAGGAGGCUAAGCAACUUGAGGCUGAUACCCAAAACAUGAGAAACGGUUCUCCUCGUCGCCUCAUGAAUCAUGGAGCUGGUGGCAAGAGUUCACCUACGGCUCAGAGCAGGCAUCCUUUCUCCAACCAAGGGAGCCCUAGAAGCCCGAGCGGUGGCAGCCGGAGGAGGGCUUGUUGAUGAUCCUGUUCCGCCUGAUCCAUUGGCUUGUGGCUUAACCAGAUGCUCCCUGAAUCCCCAGAUAUAUGAUGGAUGGACGAAGUGCCCCGGCAAUAGCACUGUACCUGUACAUACCCAUUGCCGUCCAGCGCUGUGCUGUUGUCGAAUCCCAACGGUCUCACUUUGCUUUGUAGUAUUGGCCUAUUGGGGUUCCUUAUCCUGUUGUCGGAGUUGUGCCAUUAUCCUUUCCAUGGUUGACCUGAGCUUUAGCCUGUACACUGUAGACUCUACUAGAGGUUUACCUGAGGCUGAAUUCCCGCUGCUAAGAUGUGAUGUUCCCGGCCAUAAGCAAAGAUGCAGGUUGUCUUUGCUUUGUAAAGAUGAAGGUUGUCUUUGUUUUGUAAUCGAAAAAAAAACCCUCCGACUUCGAUAGCAAUCCAUUUCUUGAAACGAUAUAGCU
Molecule: RNA transcript, 1839 nt
Organism: Zea mays
Lineage: Eukaryota; Viridiplantae; Streptophyta; Magnoliopsida; Poales; Poaceae
Gene name: Mov34/MPN/PAD pseudogene
Exons: 9
Source: RefSeq, marked validated